RNAcentral lists this ribosomal RNA (465 nucleotides) under uncultured bacterium. RNAcentral describes it as "partial 16S ribosomal RNA". It matches the Rfam family "Bacterial small subunit ribosomal RNA", at positions 338 to 795 of the family's 1533-position model. The record is from RNAcentral.
CCUACGGGUGGCAGCAGUAGGGAAUCUUCCACAAUGGGCGAAAGCCUGAUGCAGCAACGCCGCGUGGGUGAAGAAGGUCUUCGGAUCGUAAAACCCUGUUGUUAGAGAAGAAAGUGCGUGAGAGUAACUGUUCACGUUUCGACGGUAUCUAACCAGAAAGCCCCGGCUAACUACGUGCCAGCAGCCGCGGUAAUACGUAGGUGGCAAGCGUUAUCCGGAUUUAUUGGGCGUAAAGGGAACGCAGGCGGUCUUUUAAGUCUGAUGUGAAAGCCGUCGGCUUAACCGGAGUAGUGCAUUGGAAACUGGGAAACUUGAGUGCAGGAGAGGAGAGUGGAAUUCCAGGUGUAGCGGUGAAAUGCGUAGAUAUAUGGAAGAACACCAGUGGCGAAGGCGGCUCUCUGGUCUGUAACUGACGCUGAGGUUCGAAAGCGUGGGUAGCAAACAGGAUUAGAUACCCGUGUAGUC